AAUCAACGCUGGCGGCGUGCCUAACACAUGCAAGUCGAACGAGAAAGUGGAGCAAUCCAUGAGUAAAGUGGCGACCGGGUGAGUAACACGUGACUACCUGCCCUUGAGUGGGGGAUAACCUCGGGAAACCGAGGCUAAUACCGCAUAAUAUCGAAAGAUCAAAGGAGCAAUCCGCUUUUGGAGGGGGUCGCGGCUGAUUAGCUAGUUGGUAGGGUAAUGGCCUACCAAGGCGAAGAUCGGUAUCCGGCCUGAGAGGGCGCACGGACACAC
Molecule: ribosomal RNA, 270 nt
Filed under: uncultured bacterium
Lineage: Bacteria
Description: partial 16S ribosomal RNA
Rfam family: Bacterial small subunit ribosomal RNA
Source: RNAcentral